UCAAAGCCUUCCAGCCAAGAUAACUUCUUCUCAAGUUGUACAAGGAGUGUGUUAGAUUUUAAAAAUUCAGCUGAUUCUAGUAAAGAUAUCUGCAAAUUGCCUCAGUGGCAGGAUCAAAAUAAUGAAUUUUCUCGACAACAUUCAGAUAUAUCUGUUGGUGAGACAGACUGGCUCCUUUUGGACCCAGGUUCUAAAGAUCCUAAAAGGAAUGAUGAGCGUGAAAGGCAAGAGAAUCAACUAGAUAUAAAGCUUUUUUUCAAGCAAAAGCUUGGGAUGCUGAACACUUUCCAGAUGAUAAUGCAAGUGAGGGGAGCAAGGGAAGGGGUAAAAAGGAAAAUUGUUGGCAUCUUCCUGACAGCUGGGAGAUUAUGUCAAAGCCUUCCAGCCAAGAUAACUUCUUCUCAAGUUGUACAAGCAGUGUGUUAGAUUUUAAAAAUUCAGCUGAUUCUAGUAAAGAUAUCUGCAAAUUGCCUCAGUGGCAGGCAUAAUGAAUUUUCUUUACAACAUUCAGAUAUAUCUGUUGGUGAGACAGACUGGCUCCUUUUGGACCCAGGUUCUAAAGAUCCUAAAAGGAAUGAUGAGUGUGAAAGGCAAGAGAAUCAACUAAGAUAUAAAGCUUGUGUACG
Molecule: long non-coding RNA, 626 nt
Filed under: Populus tremula
Lineage: Eukaryota; Viridiplantae; Streptophyta; Magnoliopsida; Malpighiales; Salicaceae
Description: long non-coding RNA (PTRE_LNC002387)
Source: RNAcentral